Molecule: transfer RNA, 77 nt
Filed under: Candidatus Saccharimonadota bacterium
Lineage: Bacteria; Candidatus Saccharimonadota
Description: tRNA-Met
Rfam family: tRNA
About the family: Transfer RNA (tRNA) molecules are approximately 80 nucleotides in length. Their secondary structure includes four short double-helical elements and three loops (D, anti-codon, and T loops).
Source: RNAcentral
GGCGGCGUAGCUCAGUUGGUUAGAGCGCAGGACUCAUAAGCCUGAGGUCACUGGUUCAAUUCCAGUCGCCGCUACCA